Molecule: small RNA, 100 nt
Filed under: Pan troglodytes (chimpanzee)
Lineage: Eukaryota; Metazoa; Chordata; Mammalia; Primates; Hominidae
Description: processed transcript
Source: RNAcentral
UGCCUGCCUGUCCAGCAGGGGACAAGAACGGGCAAACACCCCAAGGACCCCAGGAGUCCUCGGCCGGCUCCUGACAAUGCGUUUCCCGUUGCCCCGCAGC